RNAcentral lists this ribosomal RNA (1631 nucleotides) under Coryphaena hippurus (common dolphinfish). RNAcentral describes it as "partial 16S ribosomal RNA". It matches the Rfam family "Bacterial large subunit ribosomal RNA", at positions 199 to 2704 of the family's 2925-position model. The record is from RNAcentral. Lineage: Eukaryota; Metazoa; Chordata; Actinopteri; Carangiformes; Coryphaenidae.
CAGCUAAUUAGCUAGCCUACCUAACAACCCAAUCAAAUACUUCUACUAACCCCUAAUACACUAAAAAUAUUCAACUAAACCAUUCAUCUUCCCUAGUAUAGGCGAUAGAAAAGGAAUAAAAGAGCAACAGAUAUCAGUACCGCAAGGGAAAGCUGAAAGAGAGGUGAAAAAGACCAAUAAAGCUAAGAAAAGCAGAGAUUACCCCUCGUACCUUUUGCAUCAUGAUUUAGCUAGCAACAUUAAGCGAAGAGCACUUUAGUUUAAUACCCCGAAACUAGCGUGAGCUACUCCAAGACAGCCUAUUAUAGGGCAAACCCGUCUCUGUGGCAAAAGAGUGGGAAGAGCUUUGAGUAGAAGUGACAGACCUAUCGAACCUAGUUAUAGCUGGUUGCCUGUGAAAUGAAUAGAAGUUCAGCCUCCCAGCUUCUCUCUUCACCUAUUGUACACACAAAACAAUGAUUUAGAGAAACUGUGAGAGUUAGUCAAAGGAGGAACAGCUCCUUUGAAACAAGAUACAACUUUUUUAACUGGGUAAAGAUCAUAUUAUUUAAAGUAAAAAAUCUCAGUGGGCCUGAAAGCAGCCACCCAAAAGAAAGCGUUAAAGCUCAGAUACACAAAAAACUAUUUAUUUAGAUAAACCAAUCUUAACCCCUUAGCCUUUAACGGGCCGUUCCAUACUAUUAUGGAAGUGAUUAUGCUAAAAUGAGUAAUAAGAGAGCUUAAGGCUCUCUCCUGGCACAAGUGUAAACCGGAAAGGACUUCCCGCCGGAAAUUAACGUCCCCAAAAAAAGAGGGAAUUGAGUACUUUAGAAAACUACAAGAAGACUACUCAAAAUUAAACCGUUAACCCUACACAGGAGUGCUCUUUUAAGGAAAGACUAAAAGAAGGAGAAGGAACUCGGCAAAACAAGCCUCGCCUGUUUACCAAAAACAUCGCCUCUUGCAAAAAUAAAGAAUAAGAGGUCCCACCUGCCCGGUGACACCAAUUUAACGGCCGCGGUAUCCUGACCGUGCGAAGGUAGCGUAAUCAUUUGUCUUUUAAAUGGGGACUUGUAUGAAUGGUAUAACGAGGGCUUAACUGUCUCCUCCCUCUUGUCAAUGAAAUUGAUCUCCCCGUGCAGAAGCGGGGAUACUCUCAUAAGACGAGAAGACCCUAUGGAGCUUUAGAUACUAAGGUAGACCAUAUUCCAUAACCCCUUGUUAAAGGAGUAAAUCUAUGCUAAUCCUACCCCUAUAUCUUCGGUUGGGGCGACAAUGGGGAAAUAAAAAUCCCCCAUGCGGAACGGGAAAAUUUUAUCUAAGAAAUUAUUCUUACCAUAAAGCUACUUCCCCAAAUUAAGAGUGACAACUCUAAAUUACAGUAUUUCUGACCAUAAAUGAUCCGGCAUUUGCCGAUUAACGGACCAAGUUACCCUAGGGAUAACAGCGCAAUCCCCUUUUAGAGCCCACAUCAACAAGGGGGUUUACGACCUCGAUGUUGGAUCAGGACAUCCUAUUGGUGCAGCCGCUAUUAAGGGUUCGUUUGUUCAACGAUUAAAGUCCUACGUGAUCUGAGUUCAGACCGGAGUAAUCCAGGUCAGUUUCUAUCUAUGUAGUAUUCUUUUCUAGUACGAAAGGACCGAAAAGAAGAG